UCACUCUCCUUCCAAUCGAAACAGGCGGUGGCCGCGGUGCUCUGCCAAAUCUCCAGAAAAUUAAAGGUCAGUCAUGAUGUAGGCCACUGAACAGCCGGUGUUCCAUCAAAGUAUGGCCGGGCGCCGUUCCAUCGACGGCCACCCAGAAUCGAGGAAGGCGCAAGCAUCGAUGCUCUGCUCCAUGGCCGCUUGUGGCGGGGACGAGUGGCGGAGAAUCCGGCUUCAUCAGCGAAGAUGACUUCCCCAGGAAUCGACCUUCGGGCUGACACAUCAUCUUAUUAGACUUUGGAAUACUUUGUUUUGUCAUCUUGAGGAGCUUGCUUUCCUGCAUCUUGCCAAACUGACACGCCUGAAAACUUAAUCAGGAUGUACCAACUUGUGGAAUUAUUUUCUAGGAUGAAGCAUAAUUGUGUAAAGAGGAUGUUUAUCGUCUAUAAGUUUCUAUAUCUCUCUGUAAGGCCCCUGUAUGGUUAUGCCAGUUUUACGAGCUAGCCAGCUAAGUGCUAGAUCUAUAUGGCGUAUUCUCAACUAGAUAUAUCAUGGCAAGCAGAUAUGAGUUAUUUUUUUAUCUGCUACUGUAUUAAACUGUGUAGUGUCCAUGUGUGGACAACUUUGCCCACUGAACAAUAAUUAGAAGAUCUGUUUAAACCUUUUCUGGACAUUUAUUUUAUUGGAAUCUUGAACUGGUAGAAAAUUGUUUCAGCUAAUGUCCUCUUCAUGUCUGAUAUUGAAUAGUUAUAAAGGAAUCAAGUCUCAUUUCUCUGCUAUGCUUAUUCAUACAAGUCUAUAAAAAUAUAUAGAUCCAUCGACACACCUCUAGAAAUUUAUUUCAGCUAAUGUCCUCUUCAUGCCUGCUAUUGAAUAGUUAUAAAGGAAUCAAGUCUCAUUUCUCCGCAUAUUUGGUCAGCUCUAAUAUUUUUCCAUGUAUUGGAGAUGGAUCUAUAAAAUAAAAAUAAAGUUAAUACUCAUACAUAUUAUGGUUUUCUUUAUAACUAACAGCUUUUAAACAGCUCUGACCUCUACUGUUUUUAUUUGAUGUAGAUUAUCAUCCUUCUACUAUGAUGUUACACUUUAUACUAAUUGAGCAUUGUUGCCUUUGAUUACAUUGCUCUGGUUUUCAUGCCCGACGUUAGAGCCAGGGGCUCUGUAGAAUUGGGAAGCAUGACAUUCCUAUGUAUGACAGAUCUUGGACAAAAUGGGAAGCGAGACUACACAAUGAAGAUCCGAAACUUAUUAAUAUUGGCUAUUAAAUCAACCACUCUGAAGUGAUGAAUAUAGUUAUUGGUAUUUAGAAUUUAGCAGUAUAUUCACCUCAGAUGGUUAGCACACAAUACUACUUCUCUGUGGCUAACUUUGGGGAACGGAUCCUCUAACAUCAUGAAGGGAUGUCAUGAAGGUACAGUGUAAUCCCAGUGCAAAACGGAGAAGGGAUGUCAUGGGCACUGUAGCAAAGAUAA
Long non-coding RNA from Triticum dicoccoides, 1457 nucleotides. RefSeq lists it as uncharacterized. The record is from RefSeq and is a predicted model, not a curated record. NCBI's taxonomy places the organism in Eukaryota, Viridiplantae, Streptophyta, Magnoliopsida, Poales, Poaceae. The transcript is spliced from 3 exons.